This 928-nucleotide long non-coding RNA is filed under the name Helianthus annuus (common sunflower). The record is from RNAcentral. Lineage: Eukaryota; Viridiplantae; Streptophyta; Magnoliopsida; Asterales; Asteraceae.
GUUCCCUCCCAUCCCCAAAUCCAAUGUUUACCCCCUAUUUUUUUUUCCCUUCUUUGUCUUUGACAUCUGAAAAUUGGAACUCUGUACCAAAAAUUCAUCGCACGUCUUUCACUAGGCCGUGAAUUAGGGUCGACAAUCUUAUCAAAGUUGGAAGGAAACCCAGAAACCAUUAGGGUAAUUGAUUAUCUUUGUAAAAUUUGGGGAAACUGAUGGAUAACGCCGCUAAGUUCAUGUGUAUCUAUCCUAUCUCAACUCCGGUGAAGAAUCAUCAUACAUCCUGAACUCGGUACUUCAAUCUUAUGCCGUUCAACAACGUGUGGGCCCAUUCCAUAAGCAUUCAUGGUUCACAGGCCCCAAGAUCGAGCAAACACAUGCACAUAAAUUGGAGUUCAGCCUUCAAGAUUUAUACUUGAUUCAGUUCAGCCAAUGGUCCAGCUUUACGCUUUCUAAUUGGUGAUUGGGUUCUUCAUUUUUCAUCUUAUUUGAGCUGGAAUAUAUGACAUAAGAGGCUCGAGGCUCAUUAUAUUUGCACUAGACAAAACAAUCAAUAUGUGGAAAGAAGAUGAAAACGCCACUCCUGAAACUAACCUGGUCAACUUCAAGCCCCCCUACAGACAUUGGUGGGUCCUAGUUUACUACCAGGAGAUAGAGAAGGAGCAUAUUUGUGAUUUUAGGCUGUUUUUCGAUGGGGAACUUUUCCAACAGGGUAAGAUAUUAAGAGAAACUUUAGAGAUAAGUUCUAUGACAGCGAAAUUCUCAUCGAAAAGAACAUUUAGACUCCUUGCGUAAACAUUAUUUGGAAUAUGUUACUUACACAAUGUUUUGUUAACAUUUGGAACAUGUAUCGGAUCGAACUUACUAUUGAUGUUGUAAUAUUAUGAUUUCUACAUUUACAAUUUCUUGAUAUUGGUUUUAUAAUCUUAUUUGG